AAGGCAGAUAAUUGUAGAAGUUACCCAAGCUCAAGUUGGGCAAUCAUUGAUAUAAUGUGAUUAGAACCUCAAGAGAAAAUAACAGGGUAGAUAGAGCUGAAUUUGUUUAACAAGGCAUCAAGUUAGGGCAAUUGAGGGUGGGAGGGUGAGGAAGUGAGUGACUUGCACAAGGAUGGCCUGGGAGAAAACUGAGCGGUCAAGAUUUUGAAGGUCAUGUGAGGUGAGAGAUUGGCCAGCAACCCUCGCCCCCAGGAGGAAAGAUAGAUAGAGGUUUGUCUCUGGAGGAACCAAGGAUCUGAAGCCGGAGGGAUGGCAAGAAAGAGACCAGACACUGAAUCAUGUAUAAAUCGAGCUCCACAGACUUAAGCUCUGGCCUUCCACUUCAUGGAUACAUGAGACAGUGAGAAGACCAUAACAUAACAUCAUGGGCAUCAGAAAUGAGUUUAGAGAUCAUUAGAGACAAGCCACAAGACAAACCCGUGCUAUUAACACGGACUGUUACAGCUUAAUGAUAGGGAUAAGAGCAAUAGAGGAGAAAGACGGAGCAUGGCCACAGGUCUGCUCCAUGAAAGAGAGAGAUAGUAGUCAGGAAGAAAGAUGAGUGGUUAAAGCCUUUGCUGGGCCUGUGGGCUCCUGUAUUUAUUGAUUAUCAUAUGCAAAGAUACAUAAUGCAUAGUAAUUAAUGACAUAGGGGAUUAUCAUUGGUAGAAAGGUAAAUUGUCAUAAGAUAAGGGCGGAUCCUUCUUCAGCCUGGGGAGAACAAAGAAACAUACUUUCGCGCCCAAACUAGUUAGGAUCAAAGUUCAUUGCCUCACUGGCCAUGCGCAGGGCAGAGAAUGCGCUCUUCUCAGGUCUAACUUUAUGACUUAAUUAUCUGUCUUGAGUAAACACAGCUGUGGACUGCUACAUCAUGAUAUGGACAAAGAACUAAGCUUUGUAAGGGAAGGCAGUGAAAGAAGAUGAAGGACCAAAUGAUUAUGACCCAUGAUAUCAUUGUUACAGGAAUACUCUCAGUGAGGAAAUCCUUUUACCCAAAGCAUUUUGGAAGCUGCUGUUUAUCUUUGAGUCAUAGAGAAUGACAGAGAAAAGUAUUUUAGAAGACAGAACUUGAGACCAACUUUUUCAUACUCUGAGGUAAUAUAUUAUGUCAUUCUUUCACAUUGAACUGAAAGUUUCCAAGAAUCCCCAGAAUUUUUCAGAUACAUUAUUUUUAUAUUAAUGUUCCCCAAUUUGUGGUUUUGUUUUAUUUAC
This 1251-nucleotide long non-coding RNA is filed under the name Monodelphis domestica (gray short-tailed opossum). RNAcentral describes it as "lncRNA (ENSMODG00000040729.1)". Lineage: Eukaryota; Metazoa; Chordata; Mammalia; Didelphimorphia; Didelphidae. The record is from RNAcentral.